AAGUCGAACGAAAUCUUCGGAUUUAGUGGCGCGCGGGUGAGUAACAUGUGGGAAUCUACCUGAAGGUUCGGAAUAACUGCGGGAAACUGUAGCUAAUACCGGAUGUGUCUGCAAAGAGAAAGAUUUAUCGCCUUCAGAUGAGCCCGCACUAGAUUAGCUAGAUGGUGAGGUAACUGCUCCACCAAGGCUACGAUCUAUAGCUGAUUUGAGAGGAUGAUCAGCCACACUGGGACUGAGACACGGCCCAGACUCCUACGGGAGGCAGCAGUAGGGAAUAUUGGACAAUGGGGGAAACCCUGAUCCAGCAAUGCCGCGUGAGUGAAGAAGGCCCUCGGGUUGUAAAGCUCUUUCAUCAAUGAUGAUAAUGACAUUAGUUGAAGAAGAAGCUCCGGCUAACUUCGUGCCAGCAGCCGCGGUAAUACGAAGGGGGCUAGCGUUGUUCGGAAUCACUGGGCGUAAAGCGUAUGUAGGCGGAUCAAAAAGUUAGAUGUGAAAUCCCUGGGCUCAACCCAGGAACUGCAUUUAAAACUAGUGAUCUAGAAUUUGGUAAGGGUUAGUAGAAUUUCCAGUGUAGAGGUGAAAUUCGUAGAUAUUGGAAAGAAUACCCAGAA
RNAcentral lists this ribosomal RNA (611 nucleotides) under uncultured marine bacterium. RNAcentral's name for it is "bacterial SSU rRNA". It matches the Rfam family "Bacterial small subunit ribosomal RNA", at positions 59 to 715 of the family's 1533-position model. The record is from RNAcentral.